GACGAACGCUGGCGGCGUGCUUAACACAUGCAAGUCGAACGGAAAGGCUCCAGCUUGCUGGAGUACUCGAGUGGCGAACGGGUGAGUAACACGUGGGUAAUCUGCCCUGCACUCUGGGAUAAGCCUGGGAAACUGGGUCUAAUACUGGAUAUGACCUUUCUCCUUAUGGGGUUUGGUGGAAAGUUUUUCGGUGUAGGAUGAGCCCGCGGCCUAUCAGCUUGUUGGUGGGGUGGUGGCCUACCAAGGCGACGACGGGUAGCCGGCCUGAGAGGGUGAUCGGCCACAUUGGGACUGAGAUACGGCCCAAACUCCUACGGGAGGCAGCAGUGGGGAAUAUUGCACAAUGGGCGGAAGCCUGAUGCAGCGACGCCGCGUGAGGGAUGACGGCCUUCGGGUUGUAAACCUCUUUCAGCAGGGACGAAGCGUAAGUGACGGUACCUGCAGAAGAAGCACCGGCUAACUAUGUG
This 467-nucleotide ribosomal RNA is filed under the name uncultured bacterium. Its description in RNAcentral is "partial 16S ribosomal RNA". It matches the Rfam family "Bacterial small subunit ribosomal RNA", at positions 28 to 507 of the family's 1533-position model. The record is from RNAcentral.